AGGGUUGUGGCUCAGUGGUAGAGCGCUCACCUCGCACGUGAGAGACCCUGGCUUCGAUCCUCAGCACCACAU
RNAcentral lists this transfer RNA (72 nucleotides) under Ictidomys tridecemlineatus (thirteen-lined ground squirrel). RNAcentral's name for it is "Spermophilus tridecemlineatus (thirteen-lined ground squirrel) tRNA". It matches the Rfam family "tRNA". Rfam says of the family: Transfer RNA (tRNA) molecules are approximately 80 nucleotides in length. Their secondary structure includes four short double-helical elements and three loops (D, anti-codon, and T loops). Further hydrogen bonds mediate the characteristic L-shaped molecular structure. tRNAs have two regions of fundamental functional importance: the anti-codon, which is responsible for specific mRNA codon recognition, and the 3' end, to which the tRNAs corresponding amino acid is attached (by aminoacyl-tRNA synthetases). tRNAs cope with the degeneracy of the genetic code in two manners: having more than one tRNA (with a specific anti-codon) for a particular amino acid; and 'wobble' base-pairing, i.e. permitting non-standard base-pairing at the 3rd anti-codon position. The record is from Rfam by way of RNAcentral. Lineage: Eukaryota; Metazoa; Chordata; Mammalia; Rodentia; Sciuridae.